CCGCGGUAUAGACCCGCGACUAGCCGAACU
This 30-nucleotide small RNA is filed under the name Bombyx mori (domestic silkworm). Its description in RNAcentral is "ovarian small RNA-13874". Lineage: Eukaryota; Metazoa; Arthropoda; Insecta; Lepidoptera; Bombycidae. The record is from RNAcentral.